This 235-nucleotide ribosomal RNA is filed under the name uncultured bacterium. RNAcentral's name for it is "partial 16S ribosomal RNA". It matches the Rfam family "Bacterial small subunit ribosomal RNA", at positions 105 to 339 of the family's 1533-position model. The record is from RNAcentral.
GGUGAGUAAUACGUAGGAAUCUGCCCUAGAGUGGGGGAUAACCUGUCGAAAGACGGGCUAAUACCGCAUAAUCUCUAAGGAGCAAAGGUGUCUUGUAGCAAUACAAGAUUUCGCUUUAGGAUGAGCCUACGUCGGAUUAGCUAGUUGGUAGAGUAAUAGCCUACCAAGGCGACGAUCCGUAGCUGGUCUGAGAGGAUGAUCAGCCACACUGGAACUGAGACACGGUCCAGACUCC